Molecule: ribosomal RNA, 464 nt
Filed under: uncultured bacterium
Lineage: Bacteria
Description: bacterial SSU rRNA
Rfam family: Bacterial small subunit ribosomal RNA
Source: RNAcentral
CCAGACUCCUACGGGAGGCAGCAGUGAGGAAUAUUGGUCAAUGGGAGGAAUCCUGAACCAGCCAUGCCGCGUGCAGGACGACGGCUCUACGAGUUGUAAACUGCUUUUGUACCGGGGUAAAAUGCCUUACGAGUAGGGUUUUGAAAGUACGGUACGAAUAAGGAUCGGCUAACUCCGUGCCAGCAGCCGCGGUAAUACGGAGGAUCCGAGCGUUAUCCGGAUUUAUUGGGUUUAAAGGGUGCGCAGCCGGCCUGUUAAGGAGGGGGAAAAGGCCGGGGGACAACCCCGGGCGAGCCGUUGAAACUGGCGGGCUGGAGUUGGAGAGAAGUACGCGGAAUGCGCGGUGUAGCGGUGAAAUGCUUAGAUAUCGCGCAGAACCCCGAUUGCGAAGGCAGCGUACCGGCUCCACACUGACGCUGAGGCACGAAAGCGUGGGUAUCGAACAGGAUUAGAUACCCUAGUAU